UUCGACCAGUCUUUUGAGUUGAAAUAUGUUGAUCCGUGGAAGCAACAGCUGGGUCUUAUGGCUCUUUUCACUCUGUCUUAUCUGUUGAGUAACAAAGGACUUGAAUUUCCAAGGACUUUUUUUUUUUUUCAGCCUUAGCAAGAAAAGAAAGAAAAAAAAAUCAGGAAAAGAAGGCUUUUGGGAACAUACGCCAUUUGUUAUUUUGAGCAAGUAGGUCUUCUUUAGAAGUCUUCCAAGAAGGUAAAGAUGACUUUCCAAAAGAAGGAAAAUUACUUAGCAUCUUCCACAUUUCAGGGAUGUAGCAGAAUUUGAUGAAGAGCAAAAGAUGUCUUUGCUGGGAGAGUCCAUCUUUAGGUCUACUGAUACAUCAGCAAAGCCUGGGAAACCUCAUGUUUUGGUCAGCUAUUGCCGCAACGGUGCUGCAUAACAAGCUCCACGACUACAGAGCUGAACGGCACAGAGUCUCUUCUUACAUUGAUGGAUUAACUUCCAUCAGAUGCUAAAGACUUUUUGGAUGCUCAAGGAGACAGGAGACUAGUGUGGGCUAGAGAACAAAGAGGUAACAGCCUUCCCUCCAAUAUAAUGAAAUGGCUUUUCAUUUCUUCUUUGAGGCCUCAAAAUUAUAAGGUAAGUAGAUUUUUUUUUUGCAGAAUGGCUGCAUUAGGAUCAUCAAGUCCUAAGCAUCUCUCUGUGAAUACAGCAGCUGUAUUCUAAGUGGGGCAAGGCAUGGCCCAUCCUCUACUUUAGAAUCUUGGGGGCCUUUAUGGAAGCUUCAUCAUGUAGGCAAGGUCCACUAUUAACUCAGUCUCUAGCCCCUCUUCCCU
This 824-nucleotide long non-coding RNA is filed under the name Sus scrofa (pig). RNAcentral's name for it is "lncRNA (ENSSSCG00055009091.1, ENSSSCG00070020799.1)". The record is from RNAcentral. Lineage: Eukaryota; Metazoa; Chordata; Mammalia; Artiodactyla; Suidae.